Molecule: long non-coding RNA, 530 nt
Organism: Pogonomyrmex barbatus (red harvester ant)
Lineage: Eukaryota; Metazoa; Arthropoda; Insecta; Hymenoptera; Formicidae
Source: RefSeq, a predicted model, not a curated record
GGCAACGGCGGCGGCGGCGGCGACGGCGGCGGCGGCGGCGGCGUAACGCGUUAAUGAAAAUGGCAACGCGCUGCGACGCCAUGCGGCAACCUCGACAGGGUACGUUCUGCCGCAAAUUGCGCUGCUUUAUCAAUCUGAAAUAACACCGGCGCGGAACAAUUAGCGAGGACGCCGAGACUUACGGGAGCUUCGCCGACCAGCGGAAGGAUCACGUUGCGGUAUGGCUGACAUAUAGACGGAUGUAAUCUCCGGGUGAUGCCGUGCUCGAGAGAGUUUGCAAGAGAUUUGCAAUGCCCUGUGAUGAGCAACAUAUUUUCAGUUCGCAAGCAAAGGAUAGCGAAAGCAUUAAUUCGCAAAGCAAAUGACAUAGCAUACGCAGCAACUUAGAAAUACACAGGAAAACUUCAAGAUAGUCCAAUAAGAAGUAAACUAUCUCUGGAAAAGAAUGGUGCAUUUAUUUUAUUAAGUCUACUGCAAAAACUGUAUUAAUAAAAGAAUACUGUGAAAAAGAAAGGCAUUUUAGAGGAUAA